GUUUCAUCACUCAAUCACAGUGGGUCCAGCAUGUGAUGCUGCCCCCGCGCUCUUACUAUUGCCGACCCCACAGCGCAGCACUGCAGGAGAGGAGACAGAGCGCCACCUUUCUCCUGGAUCUGAUGCUCCGCCCCCCUGCAGCGUCUCUUGGGAGAGACAUGACGACAGGGGUUUGAGGAGGAGGCAUUCCAGCUCACAGUGCAGCAGCAGCCCAGUGAGUCCGGAGUCAGACCUCCGGUGACCAUUUCCCCACCUGCCGUCAGUCACAGAGCUUGGGGGGACUCUCGGCACUUAACAGAAUUAACAUAAGAAAUCAGUACAGAAACAAUGAAGAACAGAAAAGCUUUUCAUAAAAUACAGAGAGAAUGGAGAUGUUAAAAAGACAAUUAUGGAUAUGCUUGAGUAAACAGCUUUCCCUGCUCUAUGGUCAGUGGCGGAUCUACAUUUUUGGGUCCCGGAAGCUUGAACUGUUACAACCAGCAACAAUAGGGCAACACUCAUUAAGGUCCAAAGGCCUUGCUGCCUUUGCAAGGACCUCACAGCCCAAAUGAUGGAGAAUGGGGUGGUGGUGUGGAAUCACCUCACAGUCCUACCCCCUUUCAAUAACCCUUCACAGAAACCCCACUUUAUUAAACACCUCACAGCACUUUUACUCCUCUCUUCUAUAAACACUUUAUAGCACACGCCGCUCAUCGCCAGAAAAAUGACCUUAUUAGAUGCCUUCUUGUCCUAGGCUACUUCUCACCUAUCAUUGGGGGUCAUUCCGAUGUAAUCGCAUGCUGCUGUUUUUCGCAGCGCAGCAAUCAGGUCACUACUGCAUAUGCGUAUGCACCACAAUGCACAGACGCAUCAUACGGGUACAAAGUGGAUCAUUGCUGUGCGAUGGAUUUAAUGAAGAAUCCAUUUGCACAGCCGAUCACAAGGAGAUUGAAAGGAAGAGGGUGUUUGUGGGUGUCAACUGGCCAUUUUCUGGGAGUGUUUGGAAAAACGCAGGCGUGUCCAAGCAUUUUCAAGGCGGGUGUCUGAUGUAAAUUCUGGGACCGGACAGGCUGAAGUGAUAGCAAGGGCUGAGUAAGUUCUGAGCGACUCAGAAACUGCACAAACUAUUUUUGUACCGCUCGUCUGCACAUGCGAUCGCACCAUUGCACAGCAAAUAUACACUCCCCAGUGGGCGGUGACUAUGCGUUUGUACGGCUGCAAAAAGUAGCUAGCAAGCGAUCAACUCGGAAUGACCCCCAUUGCUCCCAGCCUCCUUCCUAGGACGGAGGCUCCACCAUUCCUGGGAAUGUCACAAAGAGAACUUCUGCAGGCUGUCAGGAAUUGUAGUGUAAAACGGAUACAGACCCUAUUAUCCCUCCCCACCCCGUGAAUUUGCUUCCUUUGUAUUGCCCGGAGUCUACAUUCACCCGUAAACCAAUGUGCACGAGGCGCAAUGCCAGCUGGCCGGCCUAAUAUUGGGAAUGGAGAGAAGGAACCCGGACUCCCCGGGUAUUGUCCUUGGGGACUUUAACAAGGGAAAUUAAACUUCAGAUCUCCCCAAAUAUAAACUGAUAAUUAAAAAGGAGAAGAUUUUGUUGUUACAGCAUCAGUAGUGUUUUACAUGUGGCUCCAUGAGCGGCUCUGUGACCUCUUAUUCCUCUAAUCCCGGCAUAUAUGCAGAAACUAAAACUUUCUAAACCUGUCGUGAGGUGAACCAAGAAUUGGAGCAAUGGAGAAGCAGUUGGGGGAGGACGCCAAAAUAACAGUACUCUGAGAAGCUGUGAUGUACUUCUGUGAUGACUCCUCAUAAGCUGUGAUGACUCCUCGUAAUUCUGGAAGGGACUUAGGGAGAUUGCAAACUGCAAAACCAAAUAUCUCAAACUGUAUAAAUAUCCUCAAACUGGCAAAUGACCUGAAUGAGCUCUAUUGCAGAUUUGACAGACAAUGGAUCAGUCCUGACUUUGAUUCACAUACUCAGCCUAUCCCCCCAGUUACUGUAUCACACCCUUUCUUUCCAGUCUGGACAGAGACAAUGGGGGUCAUUCCGAGUUGAUCGCUAGCUGAAUAUGUUCGCUGCGAUUAAGUAAACAACCCGCACUUCUGCGUAUGCGGCGCAGUGCGCACACGCGACGUACUUUCACAACGGCCAAUGUAUUUUUACACAAGGUCUAGCGAAGCUUUUCAGUCGCAAUGGCCGCCGCAGAGUGAUUGACAUGAAGUGGGCGUUUCUGGGUGUCAACUGAUCGUUUUCAGGGAGUGCUCGAAAAAACGGAGGCGUGCCAAGAAAAACGCAGGCAUGGCUGGCCGAACGCAGGGCGUGUUUGUGACAUCAAAUCCGGAACUGAAUGGUCUGAAGAGAUCGCAAGCGCUGAGUAGGUGUGGAGCUACUCUAAAACUGCACAAUUUUUUUUUUGGUAGCCGCUCUGCGAUCCUUUCAUUCGUACUUCUGCUAAGCUAAAAUACACUCCCAGUGGGAGGCGGCAUAGCGAUUGCACGACUGCUAAAAACUGCUAGCGAGCGAUCAACUCGGAAUGACCCCCAAUAUCCUUUUGCACAUAAUGGACUCAAAUGGCCACCUCCCCUCCCCCAUUAAACCUCUCUCCAUUCAGAAAGACAUUAACAAACAUUUAGGAGACAGAAUCCAUGUAAGGCAGCUGGACCAUAUGCUGUCUCCUCUCUAUGCUGAAGCAUUGUACAGACCAGCUGUCCCCCGUGUUCACAGACAUCUUCAACACUUCACUUAUUGCAGGGUACCUGUCUGCUUCAAAACAUCUACCAUUAUCCCGGUUCCUAAAAAACUGAGGCUGACAGUCCUUAAUGACUACAGACCAGUUGCUCUGACCUCUGUGGUAAUUAAGACUUUUGAGCACCUUGUGCUGACCCACCUUAAGGAUACCACCAACUCCCUUUCUUGACCCACUGCAGUUUGCCUACAGCGCCAUAUUGUCAGUAGAUGAUGCAGUUAACAAGGAACUCCAUUUCAUGCUUCAGCAUCUAGAAUUUCUCACAACACCUAUGCCAGGAUCUUGUUUGUGGAUUUCAGCUCUGCAUUCAACACCAGCUGAACAUGCCUGAGCCCAUCUGCAGGUGGAUCAUUGAUUUCCUGACAGACAGGAAGCAGUACAUGAGGUUGGGUAAGUUAGUCUUGGGGUCAGAGACCAUCAGCACUGGAGCCCAACAAGGAUGUGUGCUCUCUCCCCUGCUCUCCUCUCUCUACACAGCUGCGCCCUUAGCCAACCAUCAGUCAAACUCUUGAAGUUUGCAGAUGACACAACCCUAACUGUGUUAAUCUCCAAUAGGGAUAAGUCUGCUUACAGAAGGGAAGUUGAUUACCUGCAGCCAGAACCACCUGGAGCUGAAUGCUCAUAAAAUUGUACAGAUGGUAGUAGAUUUCAGUAGGAGCCCAGCACUGACUACCCCCCUCAUUGUGUGUGACUUCCCAGUUAGCUCUGUGGAGUCAUUCAGAUUCUUGGGGACUAUAAUCUCCAAAGACCAUAGGUGGGAGGAGAAUGCACAGCAGAGGAUGUUCUUUCUGAAACAGAUGUAGAAAUUCAGCCUGAGGCAGAAAAUGAUGGUCCAGUUUUACACGGUCAUCACUGAUUCCAUCCUCACCUCAUCGAUCACCAUCUGGUAUGUUUCUUCCAAUGCCAAGGACAAAGGCAGACUUCAGCAGAUCAUAUGGCCGGCUAAGAAGGUUAUCGGCUGUGACCUUUCAUCUCUCCUGGACCUAUAUCACUCCAGGACCAGGAUCAUCGCUGACCAUUCCCACCCCAGUCACCACCUCUUUUCAGAAGAUGCCAUCUGGAAAAAGGUUUAGAUCAAAACUUCAUGCCAAAUAAAGUCUCUUCCCCAUCACGGUGGGGCUUUUGCCUCUCACUGACUAUGGGAUUUACCCCCCCCCCCCCCCAAUU
This is a long non-coding RNA of Pseudophryne corroboree (corroboree frog), 3890 nucleotides long. RefSeq lists it as uncharacterized. The record is from RefSeq and is a predicted model, not a curated record. NCBI's taxonomy places the organism in Eukaryota, Metazoa, Chordata, Amphibia, Anura, Myobatrachidae. The transcript is spliced from 4 exons.